UGGCACUUUUAUGCACGCCACAGUUAGCAUUAGCAUAUAAAGGCUGCAUUAGGCUUUGGCAAAUGACAAGAACUUCUAAAAAUAUUUCUUAAGAGGAUUAAAUGACACUUGAAAAUUUGGACCUCCUGACGGUGUGUGUGA
This is a long non-coding RNA of Thalassophryne amazonica, 141 nucleotides long. RefSeq lists it as uncharacterized. NCBI's taxonomy places the organism in Eukaryota, Metazoa, Chordata, Actinopteri, Batrachoidiformes, Batrachoididae. The transcript is spliced from 4 exons. The record is from RefSeq and is a predicted model, not a curated record.